AUUGACAAUUAUUUAUGAUCUAUGGAUUUUAUAGAUCUUGCUGUGUUACACCGUUACACGAUCUUGUCUAUUUAUCUAUGUUGUCUAUCUUCUUGCCAUCUUUUAUUAAAAACGACGUUACGUCGCCAUUUCUAAAAUUUUGAAAUUUUAUUUGCUUUUCGAUUGAUGAUAAAUAAGAAUGGAAAAGUGUUCAUUUUGAUGCAACUGAAAAAAAAGCAAGUUGCCUGCCAUGGUUUCGUUUCAUUUUGGAGGGUCUUCUAAUUAAUUACGGAACAUUAAAAAAACCUUGGACGGCAUUACUUUACAGUGGCUUGGUUGUGUCAGUGUUCAUUCGAUUCAGAAAGUAGCUAUCCUAAAAAGAAGCACAAAAGUGCCUUUUUUUCAUUGAGAACGGAUACAUUGUAGCAUUGAUGAAGGAAGGAUUUAUGAUGUAUGAACUGGUAAAUAAACUAUAUCAAUUAAAAAUAUUAAUCCAGGUCCCAGAAACUUCAAUUUCUUAGGCAUUUGUAACUUACUUUCAUCAGACAACUUUUUAACGUUUUAAACGUGGCAGAAGCAAGAUGUGGAACUGGCCUUUCCAUCAGUGCAAAAGUUAGCUUCUAACUUUAACACCACAUCUCUAC
Molecule: long non-coding RNA, 623 nt
Filed under: Agrilus planipennis (emerald ash borer)
Lineage: Eukaryota; Metazoa; Arthropoda; Insecta; Coleoptera; Buprestidae
Description: uncharacterized LOC108734585, transcript variant X3
Source: RNAcentral